GUGGUGGCUCAGUGGUAGAACGCUCAUCUUGCAUGUGUGAGACACUAGGUUCAAUCCUCAGCACCACA
RNAcentral lists this transfer RNA (68 nucleotides) under Marmota monax (woodchuck). RNAcentral describes it as "tRNA.Ala". The record is from RNAcentral. Lineage: Eukaryota; Metazoa; Chordata; Mammalia; Rodentia; Sciuridae.